This 3347-nucleotide long non-coding RNA is filed under the name Callithrix jacchus (white-tufted-ear marmoset). RNAcentral's name for it is "lncRNA (ENSCJAG00000070836.1)". Lineage: Eukaryota; Metazoa; Chordata; Mammalia; Primates; Cebidae. The record is from RNAcentral.
AAUGAAAGGCACUAAUUGGACAUUGCACUUCAAGAACUGUGCAGUCUCCCGAAGGGUGGGGUGCAUGAGUUGAAAACAUUUUAAGAAAUAUACACAAGGAAGUGCAAUUCAGUGUAGAAGAGAAAGAACACAGAUGCACGACACUGCAGGGGCAGAGGAAAGAGAAAGAAUACAGAUGCACGACACUGCAGGGGCAGAGGAAAGAGAAAGAACACACAUGCACGACACUGCAGGGGCAGAGGAAAGAGAAAGAACACAGAUGCACGACACUGCAGGGGCAGAGGAAAGAGAAAGAACACACAUGCACGACACUGCAGGGGCAGAGGAAAGAGAAAGAACACACAUGCACGACACUGCAGGGUCAGAGGAAAGAGAAAGAACACACAUGCACGACACUGCAGGGGCAGAGGAAAGAGAAAGAACACACAUGCACGACACUGCAGGGGCAGAGGGAAGAGAAAGAACACACAUGCACGACACUGCAGGGGCAGAGGAAAGAGAAAGAACACAGAUGCACGACACUGCAGGGGCAGAGGAAAGAGAAAGAACACACAUGCACGACACUGCAGGGGCAGAGGGAAGAGAAAGAACACACAUGCACGACACUGCAGGGGCAGAGGAAAGAGAAAGAACACACAUGCACGACACUGCAGGGGCAGAGGAAAGAGAAAGAACACACAUGCACGACACUGCAGGGGCAGAGGAAAGAGAAAGAACACACAUGCACGACACUGCAGGGGCAGAGGAAAGAGAAAGAACACAGAUGCACGACACUGCAGGGGCAGAGGAAAGAGAAAGAACACACAUGCACGACACUGCAGGGGCAGAGGGAAGAGAAAGAACACACACGCACGACACUGCAGGGGCAGAGGGAUGGCAUUUUCAGGAUGGGAGCAAGGAACAUUUCAUGGAGUACGCAUUGGAUUUGAGCUUGCCCUUGAGGAUCUGCACUACAGAAAGAAGGCCUCCAAUGUCUCAGCUCUAAGGCUAGGCCUUGUGGUGCCUGCCUUUGAUAAGGUGAUCCAGGCUUCUGUGAGUCAGUGAAGCUUUGUUCUCUUGAGUCAGUGAAGUCCCAACCCCAUCAUAGCCCCAGAGUCCUGUGGUGAAUCCAGCGGCCUCCAGCAUCGUGGCCUCCUGCGGCCAGGAUCUUGGCCCUGGUUGACAUUUCCACGCCUGCCGUCUCCUGCGGUACCUUCAGCACAUACGAUGAGCUGGACAAGGACUGAACAGUGUUUGCUGUGAAACCUGGCCUUUCCUCUGCUUCUGACUGCCGUGUCCCCACCAUGAGGUCCUGGAGUUGCUUCAGUUCAUUGUAGACAGCAAACUGGGAAUUAUACCAGCCGCUCAUAGGCAGCCACCAUGGAGGUUACCUGGGAAUUAUACCAGCCGCUCAUAGGCAGCCACCAUGGAGGUUACCUGGGAAUUAUACCAGCCGCUCAUAGGCAGCCACCAUGGAGGUUACCUGGGAAUCAUACCAGCCGCUCAUAGGCAGCCACCAUGGAGGUUACCUGGGAAUCAUACCAGCCGCUCAUAGGCAGCUACCAUGGAGGUUACCUGGGAAUCAUACCAGCCGCUCAUAGGCAGCCACCAUGGAGGUUACCUGGGAAUCAUACCAGCCGCUCAUAGGCAGCCACCAUGGAGGUUACCUGGGAAUCAUACCAGCCGCUCAUAGGCAGCCACCAUGGAGGUUACCUGGGAAUCAUACCAGCCGCUCAUAGGCAGCCACCAUGGAGGUUACCUGGGAAUCAUACCAGCCGCUCAUAGGCAGCCACCAUGGAGGUUACCUGGGAAUCAUACCAGCCGCUCAUAGGCAGCCACCAUGGAGGUUACCUGGGAAUCAUACCAGCCGCUCAUAGGCAGCCACCAUGGAGGUUACCUGGGAAUUAUACCAGCCGCUCAUAGGCAGCCACCAUGGAGGUUACCUGGGAAUCAUACCAGCCGCUCAUAGGCAGCCACCAUGGAGGUUACCUGGGAAUCAUACCAGCCGCUCAUAGGCAGCCACCAUGGAGGUUACCUGGGAAUUAUACCAGCCGCUCAUAGGCAGCCACCAUGGAGGUUUCCUGGGAAUCAUACCAGCCGCUCAUAGGCAGCCACCAUGGAGGUUACCUGGGAAUCAUACCAGCCGCUCAUAGGCAGCCACCAUGGAGGUUACCUGGGAAUCAUACCAGCCGCUCAUAGGCAGCCACCAUGGAGGUUACCUGGGAAUCAUACCAGCCGCUCAUAGGCAGCCACCAUGGAGGUUACCUGGGAAUCAUACCAGCCGCUCAUAGGCAGCCACCAUGGAGGUUACCUGGGAAUCAUACCAGCCGCUCAUAGGCAGCCACCAUGGAGGUUACCUGGGAAUCAUACCAGCCGCUCAUAGGCAGCCACCAUGGAGGUUACCUGGGAAUCAUACCAGCCGCUCAUAGGCAGCCACCAUGGAGGUUACCUGGGAAUUAUACCAGCCGCUCAUAGGCAGCCACCAUGGAGGUUACCUGGGAAUUAUACCAGCCGCUCAUAGGCAGCCACCAUGGAGGUUACCUGGGAAUUAUACCAGCCGCUCAUAGGCAGCCACCAUGGAGGUUACCUGGGAAUUAUACCAGCCGCUCAUAGGCAGCCACCAUGGAGGUUACCUGGGAAUCAUACCAGCCGCUCAUAGGCAGCCACCAUGGAGGUUACCUGGGAAUCAUACCAGCCGCUCAUAGGCAGCCACCAUGGAGGUUACCUGGGAAUUAUACCAGCCGCUCAUAGGCAGCCACCAUGGAGGUUUCCUGGGAAUCAUACCAGCCGCUCAUAGGCAGCCACCAUGGAGGUUUCCUUUGGGAUUACUAUGUACCUGCCUGAGCACGCCCGAGGGGUGUAAACGGCCUGUGUGAGCGAGGCCAGGCGGGCGCUGUCGCUGCUGCUCCUGGUUCUGGCCAGGUCCUUGUUGGGGCUCCCCCGGCCCAGCCCACACAGUUCCAGUAACAUGACCAGCAGCCUCCGGGCCAAAUUCCUCCUGUGCCACAGGAAAAGUUACCCUCUCAGUCCCCGCACCCCCUAGUAAAAGCAGGUCCAGAGGCAGUUGUGCGAGGACUGCUAUAAAAAGCAUCGCGGUUCAGAAGGGAUUUUGUGCGGCGGAUGGCUCCCUCCAGGGCCAGGAGAACUGGGGGAGAGAGACCCCCGGGCAGCUGCCCCCCGGUGAAGCCCCGAGCUUCCCCCGCCUCCGCAGACGCCCGGCGCCCUUCAGUCUCAGGCCGAGCAGGACCCGCUGUCUGACUCCCGCGGAGGCGGCGCGCUGACGUCAGCCCUACGCCCGAGCUGCGGCCCGCGGCGGGGCGGGGCCGGGGUGGGCGGGGCGGUGCCGGGGUGGGCGGGGCGGUGCCGGG